GAUGAACGCUGGCGGCGUGCCUAAUACAUGCAAGUCGAGCGAACAGACGAGGAGCUUGCUCCUCUGACGUUAGCGGCGGACGGGUGAGUAACACGUGGAUAACCUACCUAUAAGACUGGGAUAACUUCGGGAAACCGGAGCUAAUACCGGAUAAUAUAUUGAACCGCAUGGUUCAAUAGUGAAAGACGGUUUUGCUGUCACUUAUAGAUGGAUCCGCGCCGCAUUAGCUAGUUGGUAAGGUAACGGCUUACCAAGGCAGCGAUGCGUAGCCGACCUGUGAGGGUGAUCGGCCACACUGGAACUGAAACACGGUCCAGACUCCUACGGGAGGCAGCAUUAGGGAAUCUUCCGCAAUGGGCGAAAGCCUGACGGAGCAACGCCGCGUGAGUGAUGAUGGUCUUCGGAUCGUAAAACUCUGUUAUUAGGGAAGAACAAUUGUGUAAGUAACUAUGCACGUCUUGACGGUACCUAAUCAGAAAGCCACGGCUAACUACGUG
Molecule: ribosomal RNA, 497 nt
Filed under: uncultured bacterium
Lineage: Bacteria
Description: partial 16S ribosomal RNA
Rfam family: Bacterial small subunit ribosomal RNA
Source: RNAcentral